GGUUAGUGCAAUGGCAUAAGCCAGCUUGACUGCGAGCGUGACGGCGCGAGCAGGUGCGAAAGCAGGUCAUAGUGAUCCGGUGGUUCUGAAUGGAAGGGCCAUCGCUCAACGGAUAAAAGGUACUCCGGGGAUAACAGGCUGAUACCGCCCAAGAGUUCAUAUCGACGGCGGUGUUUGGCACCUCGAUGUCGGCUCAUCACAUCCUGGGGCUGAAGUAGGUCCCAAGGGUAUGGCUGUUCGCCAUUUAAAGUGGUACGCGAGCUGGGUUUAGAACGUCGUGAGACAGUUCGGUCCCUAUCUGCCGUGGGCGCUGGAGAACUGAGGGGGGCUGCUCCUAGUACGAGAGGACCGGAGUGGACGCAUCACUGGUGUUCGGGUUGUCAUGCCAAUGGCACUGCCCGGUAGCUAAAUGCGGAAGAGAUAAGUGCUGAAAGCAUCUAAGCACGAAACUUGCCCCGAGAUGAGUUCUCCCUGACCCUUUAAGGGUCCUGAAGGAACGUUGAAGACGACGACGUUGAUAGGCCGGGUGUGUAAGCGCAGCGAUGCGUUGAGCUAACCGGUACUAAUGAACCGUGAGGCUUAACCUU
This 587-nucleotide ribosomal RNA is filed under the name Escherichia coli. Its description in RNAcentral is "partial 23S ribosomal RNA". It matches the Rfam family "Bacterial large subunit ribosomal RNA", at positions 2344 to 2925 of the family's 2925-position model. Lineage: Bacteria; Pseudomonadati; Pseudomonadota; Gammaproteobacteria; Enterobacterales; Enterobacteriaceae. The record is from RNAcentral.